Molecule: microRNA precursor, 168 nt
Filed under: Medicago truncatula (barrel medic)
Lineage: Eukaryota; Viridiplantae; Streptophyta; Magnoliopsida; Fabales; Fabaceae
Description: miR5281a stem-loop (mtr-MIR5281a)
Source: miRBase by way of RNAcentral
UUGUGACAUACUCCCUUCGGUCCUAUUUACAAGAGAAAUUUGACUUUUUAGAUACAUUAAAUAAUGUAUGUAUCUAAUCAAGAAUCUAAACCAAAUACAUAAAUUAUUUAAUGUAUCUAAAAAGUAAAUUGUCUCUUGUAAAUAGGAUCGGAGGGAGUGUAUAUACUC